UCAUUUUAUUAUACCAACCCCUGAUACAACUAGGAAGUAAAUUAAACUGUAACGUCGCCAUUAAAUUGUUGAAAUAAAAGACUCUAUAGAGAGGAUUAUUAUCAUAUUGAAGCCUGUGUCAAUAAAGACGAUCUAUUCAAGGCAUCAUGUCAGGCAAGAUAAAUAAUGGUAAAGGGAAAUCUUCAGCAAGACAUUCCACUAAGAAGAAUACAAUCCCCCAAAUAGAAACACAGCCAUCAGCUAGUACCAGUAGUAGUACAGAUACAGUAUCAGCUUUAGUUUCACAUGGCAAUACUAGUACAGAAAUCCGGGUAUCUAUUAUAGGAAAGACAGGAGUUGGUAAGAGCGCAUUAGGAAAUGCGCUGUUACAACAAGAUACUUUUAAAUCACAACAACAGCCCACCUCUGUAACAUCAGAAUGUGGUUUAGGACAACGACAUCUUCAAUUAAAUGGUGUGGAUUCCUUACUAAAAGUUGUGGAUACACCAGGUUUGUUUGACACGGGUAACAGUAACAAAACAAUAGCUAAGGAAAUCGUUAAAUGUAUUAAUAUUUUAUCACCAGGGCCACAUUUAUUUAUCUUUGUCUUUCGAAUCGACUUAAGACUCUCACAAGAGGACAUAAAAGUUCUUGAAUAUUUUAAAAAUACUUUCGGUGAAUUAAUUGAUAAAUUUGCCGUUGUGGUAUUAACUGGGAAAGAUCAUCUGAGAAACAGAAGUGAAGAAGAGGCUAUGCAUGAACUUCAUACUCAGUUAUCAACAUUUAGUGAUGUUUUUAAACACCGCCGAUACGCAACGAUCAAUAACAUAGAUGAAACAGAAGGCAAGAUGAAGGAUGUGAACAGAAUCUUACAAUUACUUCAGACAACUAUACAGAAUAAUGGUGGAGACUUUUAUGAAAACGAAAUGUACGAAGAGGCGAAGAAAUUAUUUGAGGCAAGAAUAUGCGACGAAGAAGAUCGCAAACAAAAAGCUUUAGCUGAAAGAGACGAACUUAAGAAAGAACAAAUUCGCCAAGAACAGAUUUGGCAGAAAGAGAAGGAGCAACUCACGAAACAAUGCGAGAAACAGAAUCGCCAAGAACAGAUUUGGCAGAAAGAGAGGGGACAACUCAUGAAACAAUGCGAGAAACAGAAUCGCCAAGAACAGAUUUGGCAGGAAGAGAAGGAGCAACUCCUGAAACAAUGGACUGAAGAACGUGCUAAAUUGAUUGAAGAUACAAGAAAUAAGGAAAUCGAUUUGGACAAAAGAGAAAUGGAAAUUCAACUGCUAGAAAGGGAAAGACAAUCAACACAGUGGUUAAGUUCAACUAGCAGACAAUCAUACACUGAACUAGCCAGUACUUCAACAUUUCAUCAUGGCAGCAGCCUUAAUACACUCAAUAUAUCUCGUGCUAAGAAACGCAAAUAUGAACCAAGUCGUAGAGAGAGAGGAAAGAUGCUUCAAGAGGAUGAAAAAAACAUUAAAGAUAAUUAUGCGUUUCUACUGGAUAAUAUAACUGAUCCGGAACGUUUAUCGGAUCGUCUGUUUGGAAAAUCAGUUUUUGAUACGGACGAUAUGGAAAAAAUAAAAGACGUAAAAGGAAAAAGGGCUAUGACCCGUGAACUAGUUAAUACAUUACUUAAUGGCGGACCAAAUUCCUACCAAAGUUUCAUUGAUAGUUUAAAGGAAGAAGGUUACACGACAAUAGUUGAACAAUUAGAAUCAAGUAGAGAUGAGAGCCAUGAAGAAAUAUCUGGUUACCAUGUUAACCAAUCAAUGAUAAGAGGAUUGGGUGAUAGAAACCAGUUAAUGCUUGGUGGAAUCGAUGAACACUAUGAUGUAUCAUAUUCAGAAGUCGGGAACAGAUCAGAGAUACACAAGGACCAUGGCGAGGUUGAUGUUGUGAAAGUUGUGGUCAAGAAGGCCAACAACACUGUUAUUUUAUCGAAGGUGAAGUCUGACCAUCAAAAGAUCAACGUAAAGCAGGAGAUAAUAUCAACAUGUCGACGUAAUGUUAAAAAUAUCGCCAACUGUGUUUUGUAUGAGAACCAAGACUCCAUGUUUAACGAUGUAUUAGAAGAUGAGCAAGAAGAUCAUGUUAAAACAACUGAUAUAGCAGUAGAUAUGACAGCUAGAACGAGUGACCCAGUAGGCCUAGCGAUUAAACAAGAACCACUCGAAAUGGAUGGGACUUAUGGGGUAACGCAACCAACUAUUAUGUCAUCCAAUACAAGACCAGAUACGGAUGAUACAUAUGAUCACUUACUAAUAGAUGAAGAAAGCAAAGGGAUGACAAUUCCAGAUGAUGUUAAAUAUAGUCAGACAUCUAUACAAAACAAUAUGGCCACCACCAUCACAUCAACAACUCCAUUAUUAAACCAACCAUUUGUUACACAAGAUGUAAAAACAACUAACUAUAAUAAAACAACCGACAACAAUAAAAUGGACUGGGAAUCAAUACGUCAAACUUGUCUACAUGGUACACUUGAUGAUGUCAAAACUUUAAUACAUCAAAAUAUCGAUUUAAAUAUUCCUGUCGGUGGUAGUAAUAUGACACCAGUAUUUUAUUGUGUGAUGUCUGACAUACAGCCGUUAGAUAAGAUACAAUUACUCUUCUCUGCUGGUGCCAUGUUACAUGUUAAGGGUUAUAAUGGUAAUAGUUUAUUACACUGGGCGUGUUGUUGGGGUACAAUAGACUGUGUAAAAUAUUUAUUGGAACAAGGACUUGAUACAAAUGAUAGGAAUGAUUCUAAUAGGACACCAGUAUUUUAUUGUGUGUUGUCUAACAAACAGCCGUUAGAUAAGAUACAGUUACUCUUCUCUGCUGGUGCCAUGUUAGAUGUUAAGGGUGAUCGUGGUAGUUUAUUAGACUUGGCUCGUCGGUUAGGUAAAACAGAAUGUGUAUCAUAUUUACGUGAAUUAGGCCUUGAUGAAUAGAAUAUAAAUGUCAAGUGUCGUGAUUAUGGUAGUUUAUUAGACUGGACUCGUCGGUGGCGUAAAUCAAAAUGUGUAUCAUAUUUAUUUUAAAUAGGCCUUGAUAAAUAGAAUAUAAAUAAUCAUACAACAUCUUUAUUUUACUUGUUAAUAAUUCUGUUAGAACUAAAUGAUGAAGAUGUUUUAUUUUGAUGUAAAUUUUUAAAUUUUGUUAUAAACCAUUUUCUGUCAAUCAACAACAUUCUGUACACAGACUGGCUACCUGUCAGCCAUUAAAACUAGUAACACGUCAUUACAAGUUUUUACAACGUCAUUGGUUAUUACGUCACAAGUCAAUAGGUCACGUUAAAUCUAUUUAUAAACAAAUUGAAAGUAGUAUUACCAGGUUGAAUAACAGGAAUAGAAAAUCAACUGAUGUGAUGUUUUGGUGGUCAUCAAAGUCAACUUUAACCCAAUAUUGUUUUAAAUAACAACACAAUGAAUUAUAUUAACCAAGAGAUAUGAUUGGAGAGGAAUAGAAUAAUAUUUGAAAUGAUGUUGAAAGAAUAUAUUUACUAUAGAAGAGCUGCUGUAUUCGAACAUACACCGUCAUUAAAAGUUGUUUGUGAUAAUUUGAUACGUGAUUGUGUCAAGAGAUAUCCACUAGAAAACUGUCCACCGUUUUAGCUGAAGAUCCUGAGAAUCAAUUGAAAGGUCGUAAAAAUCAGAUAGAGAGAGUUUAUUGUGGUCAUCUGUUUCAUAAUGGUUGUUUAGAUACGUACAUGAAAACACCUUCAUUUAUAGGAGGUAAAAAAUGUCCUUCCUGUGAUAAACGAAUGAAAAAUGGAAAGUGUCAGCUGAAGUAAUAGAGAAUAGAUGUGCACAUAAACAAGCUAAACAAAGAGAACUAGAAGAAGUUGUAGAUUUCUUUAAAAAAUUGAAAUAAUUUAAAAUAUACCUCUACUUUUGUAGAUAAACAUACCAAAUAUGUAUAUUCCACAAUCUUGGCUUCAAAUUUACAAAAAUAUUUAUUUACAUUGUAUUCAAUGUCUGACAUUUGAGAUAUUGAGGAAUCCUUUACAAACUACAAUAUUGUAAAAAUUGAAUCUCUGGAAGGCGUGUCAGUAUAAAAAUAUUCUGUUGAGUAUUUUACAAAGAUAUGAUAAAUUAAAAACGUGUCAAUAUUCGGAAUCUUCUACAGAUGAUAUAAAUGGGGUAUGAUCAAAAGUCAAGGCCACCUGUAAUCUUCUGUUUUAUCCGACUUGGGAGAUUUUCUAACGUUAAUUUUUCUUUCUUAAAUAUGCAAUAUAUUGUAAUAUAUAGAAUCCGGUCUUUUAUAUAGGCCUAUUGUAAUAUUUGAUAUAAAACUUACAAGUUCUACUUACUUGUUAGCCUCCAUCUUGUGUCACGUCCAUCUUAGCACCGACUUCUCAGAUUGUUACAUAUAUUUCUAUUUGAUCAUUGUUAACACUAGUAUUUCAUCUUGGUUGUUAUAAUAAUUAUGUUUUAUAACCAGAGUCCAGCUAUGUGGUUUUUACUGCGAGAACUUCGCUUUUCCACAUUAAACAGUGGAUGCUUUUUCCCACAGGGUUUUUUUUCAAUCCGCUGCGAUGGCAUCAAACAGCUGGAUCUCCUAUUUUAACUUGUUUUAAUUAUGACAAAGUGAGAAGAUGACCAGCCCUCUCUUCUCUUCUCACGACAGCGAUGUUAAAACUGUGUUUUAAAGUGACUUUUAGAUAUACAAGAACUUUUUAUUAUUUAGUGUUUUUACCUAUUUUCUAUAUAUUACUCAUUCACAUGUAAAUAACUUAAUUAAAUCAACCUGUCCAUAAUAUCGUGCAAUAAACAACAAUGUCCUAAGGGCAGAUAACUGUUCGUUGUAUUAAUAUGUAACCAAGAGAUAAAACCGAAACUUUUUAACAACUAAGGUAUAUUCACAACCUUUUAACUAAUUAGAAAGGUGAGAAUCGUGGCCGUGAUGGAACUUGGUCAUACAUGUUAAUGUUACAAAUGUCAUCAUUAAUCGGCAGAAUAUGCCGCCAUUAUCACCGGGUUAACCAAUGUGCGACGUCAAGGACGUUAAGGGUUUGUGAACGUUAUCUCCCAUAUUUAAUAUAUUAUAGAAUGAUUUACUAACUGUAUUUUAUUGUUAUUCAUGUCAUGACAUAACCUUGAAAUAAAGGAACGGGCAUAUUGAACGUAUUAUUAGUCUUAGUCGUUAGACAUUGAAGGAGGAAAACAACAGAAUAUAAGUCCAGCUAUUUGGCUAUCCCACUCUCCCAUCCCCACAUUUAUUUUAUAGUAGACAUCGAUACGGACAGGGUGUCGAUAACCUUACAAUAUAAGAUUUAGAUAAAGAGCUGACAGUUCUUGCUAUAAUAGUUCUUGUUGCUUAUGGUGGGCCUAUAGGAGGCGUGAUUCAAGCUCCUGUCUGUUUUAAAAAUAUUUUUUAUAAUUCUUAUACUCAUCUCAUAAAUUAUAAAUAUUUUAUAUUAGUAAAUAAACAAUGUAAUAUUGUU
Patella vulgata (common limpet) is the source of this 5413-nucleotide RNA transcript. It is a transcript of the gene named reticulocyte-binding protein homolog 2a, with no coding region annotated. The transcript has 10 exons. The record is from RefSeq and is a predicted model, not a curated record. NCBI's taxonomy places the organism in Eukaryota, Metazoa, Mollusca, Gastropoda, Patellidae.